RNAcentral lists this ribosomal RNA (253 nucleotides) under uncultured bacterium. Its description in RNAcentral is "partial 16S ribosomal RNA". It matches the Rfam family "Bacterial small subunit ribosomal RNA", at positions 524 to 776 of the family's 1533-position model. The record is from RNAcentral.
UACAGAGGGGGCAAGCGUUGUUCGGAAUUACUGGGCGUAAAGGGCGCGUAGGCGGCCAACUAAGUCAGACGUGAAAUCCCUCGGCUUAACCGGGGAACUGCGUCUGAUACUGGAUGGCUAGAGGUUGGGAGAGGGAUGCGGAAUUCCAGGUGUAGCGGUGAAAUGCGUAGAUAUCUGGAGGAACACCGGUGGCGAAGGCGGCAUCCUGGACCAAUUCUGACGCUGAGGAGCGAAAGCCAGGGGAGCAAACGGG